UGUGAACUCGAAGAGUAGGGCGGGACACGUGGUAUCCUGUCUGAAUAUGGGGGGACCAUCCUCCAAGGCUAAAUACUCCUGACUGACCGAUAGUGAACCAGUACCGUGAGGGAAAGGCGAAAAGAACCCCGGCGAGGGGAGUGAAAAAGAACCUGAAACCGUGUACGUACAAGCAGUGGGAGCACCUUCGGGUGUGACUGCGUACCUUUUGUAUAAUGGGUCAGCGACUUAUAUUCUGUAGCAAGGUUAACCGUAUAGGGGAGCCGCAGGGAAACCGAGUCUUAACUGGGCGUUAAGUUGCAGGGUAUAGACCCGAAACCCGGUGAUCUAGCCAUGGGCAGGUUGAAGGUUGGGUAACACUAACUGGAGGACCGAACCGACUAAUGUUGAAAAAUUAGCGGAUGACUUGUGGCUGGGGGUGAAAGGCCAAUCAAACCGGGAGAUAGCUGGUUCUCCCCGAAAGCUAUUUAGGUAGCGCCUCGUGAACUCAUCUUCGGGGGUAGAGCACUGUUUCGGCUAGGGGGUCAUCCCGACUUACCAACCCGAUGCAAACUACGAAUACCGAAGAAUGUUAUCACGGGAGACACACGGCGGGUGCUAACGUCCGUCGUGAAGAGGGAAACAACCCAGACCGCCAGCUAAGGUCCCAAAGUCAUGGUUAAGUGGGAAACGAUGUGGGAAGGCACAGACAGCCAGGAUGUUGGCUUAGAAGCAGCCAUCAUUUAAAGAAAGCGUAAUAGCUCACUGGUCGAGUCGGCCUGCGCGGAAGAUGUAACGGGGCUAAACCAUGCACCGAAGCUGCGGCAGCGACACUAUGUGUUGUUGGGUAGGGGAGCGUUCUGUAAGCCUGCGAAGGUGUGCUGUGAGGCAUGCUGGAGGUAUCAGAAGUGCGAAUGCUGACAUAAGUAACGAUAAAGCGGGUGAAAAGCCCGCUCGCCGGAAGACCAAGGGUUCCUGUCCAACGUUAAUCGGGGCAGGGUGAGUCGACCCCUAAGGCGAGGCCGAAAGGCGUAGUCGAUGGGAAACAGGUUAAUAUUCCUGUACUUGGUGUUACUGCGAAGGGGGGACGGAGAAGGCUAUGUUAGCCGGGCGACGGUUGUCCCGGUUUAAGCAUGUAGGCUGGUUAUCCAGGCAAAUCCGGAUAAUCAAGGCUGAGGUGUGAUGACGAGGCACUACGGUGCUGAAGUAACAAAUGCCCUGCUUCCAGGAAAAGCCUCUAAGCAUCAGGUAACAUCAAAUCGUACCCCAAACCGACACAGGUGGUCAGGUAGAGAAUACCAAGGCGCUUGAGAGAACUCGGGUGAAGGAACUAGGCAAAAUGGUGCCGUAACUUCGGGAGAAGGCACGCUGGUGUGUAGGUGAAGUCCCUGCGGAUGGAGCUGAGACCAGUCGAAGAUACCAGCUGGCUGCAACUGUUUAUUAAAAACACAGCACUGUGCAAACACGAAAGUGGACGUAUACGGUGUGACGCCUGCCCGGUGCCGGAAGGUUAAUUGAUGGGGUUAUCCGUAAGGAGAAGCUCUUGAUCGAAGCCCCGGUAAACGGCGGCCGUAACUAUAACGGUCCUAAGGUAGCGAAAUUCCUUGUCGGGUAAGUUCCGACCUGCACGAAUGGCGUAAUGAUGGCCAGGCUGUCUCCACCCGAGACUCAGUGAAAUUGAACUCGCUGUGAAGAUGCAGUGUACCCGCGGCAAGACGGAAAGACCCCGUGAACCUUUACUAUAGCUUGACACUGAACAUUGAGCCUUGAUGUGUAGGAUAGGUGGGAGGCUUUGAAGCGUGGACGCCAGUCUGCGUGGAGCCAACCUUGAAAUACCACCCUUUAAUGUUUGAUGUUCUAACGUUGGCCCCUGACCGGGGUUGCGGACAGUGUCUGGUGGGUAGUUUGACUGGGGCGGUCUCCUCCCAAAGCGUAACGGAGGAGCACGAAGGUUAGCUAAUCCUGGUCGGACAUCAGGAGGUUAGUGCAAUGGCAUAAGCUAGCUUGACUGCGAGCGUGACGGCGCGAGCAGGUGCGAAAGCAGGUCAUAGUGAUCCGGUGGUUCUGAAUGGAAGGGCCAUCGCUCAACGGAUAAAAGGUACUCCGGGGAUAACAGGCUGAUACCGCCCAAGAGUUCAUAUCGACGGCGGUGUUUGGCACCUCGAUGUCGGCUCAUCACAUCCUGGGGCUGAAGUAGGUCCCAAGGGUAUGGCUGUUCGCCAUUUAAAGUGGUACGCGAGCUGGGUUUAGAACGUCGUGAGACAGUUCGGUCCCUAUCUGCCGUGGGCGCUGGAGAAUUGAGGGGGGCUGCUCCUAGUACGAGAGGACCGGAGUGGACGCAUCACUGGUGUUCGGGUUGUCAUGCCAAUGGCACUGCCCGGUAGCUAAAUGCGGAAGAGAUAAGUGCUGAAAGCAUCUAAGCACGAAACUUGCCCCGAGAUGAGUUCUCCCUGAGACUUUAAGUCUCCUGAAGGAACGUUGAAGACGACGACGUUGAUAGGCCGGGUGUGUAAGCGCAGCGAUGCGUUGAGCUAACCGGUACUAAUGAACCGUGAGGCUUAACCUU
Molecule: ribosomal RNA, 2545 nt
Filed under: Klebsiella pneumoniae
Lineage: Bacteria; Pseudomonadati; Pseudomonadota; Gammaproteobacteria; Enterobacterales; Enterobacteriaceae
Description: partial 23S ribosomal RNA
Rfam family: Bacterial large subunit ribosomal RNA
Source: RNAcentral